AUAUUUACGCACAUAAUUUUUAUUCGAUUCUUAGUUAUAGUGUUAUACACAACGUUGAAAUUUGUACAAUUUUCGAAGAAAAAAUAAAUUCAUUUUAUUUUUGGUAACAGUAUACUUUUUCAAAACUAAACUAAAAUGGCCGAACAGUCGACGAAUUUGAAACUCUUGAACGAGCCAGAAUCCAAAGAAGCUGAAGUCAAGAAAGCUGAAGACGACAAAGCUGAAGACGACAAAGCUGAAGACGACAAAGCUGAAGACGACAAAGCUGAAGACGACAAAGCUGAAGACGACAAAGCGGAAGACGACAAAGCUGAAGUCGAAAAGGUGGAACCAACUCCAGAGCCUGACAGUACCUCUAAGGCAGAAGGGAUGGAAUCGCUACCUUCAUCUGCAAAUGCAGUGGGGUAAGGUUCCUUGGCUGGCAAUUUGGAGACGCGAAUGCAAAAUGUCCUGCAAAGACAGCAAGCAUUUUCCGGUCCACAUAGCAAAGAAAUCGAUGACAUCAAUGAGAUUCUAUUGCCAAAUAUGCUCUCCAAUUUGAAGGCAUACAAUGCAAUUUAUGAGGAGGUGCGUAAAAUGGAUGCAGCCAUGAAAUCGAAUCUUACCAAUGCAGCUGCCAUCGAUCAAGACAUGGGAAAUAUAUAUCUUGAUCUGCAUGAAACAUAUCGUAAAUUGGAACGCAUUGAUUCGGUCAAGAUGGAGUAUUCAAUGCGGGAAAUACUUAAGAAAAAAGUACGCGAAUCUGAGGAGUUGCAAUAGCGUAAUCGUCACUAUGUAAUGAAACGAUGUUUUCGAACCCCAACCAACGGCGUAUGUCAGGUUGUGAUCCGCCUCCGGAGGUCGUAGAGAAUGCUGAGAAACGCACUUUUUUGACCAAUAUGUUAGCCGUUAAGAAGUCGGAGUUCUCAAUUCAGCUUAAUCGAAGGAACAAGUAUUUCCAUGAAGUUGAAAAGGUAUUAAAAAUGAAGUCAGAAAAGUUGGAAAAGAAGGACGAAAUCAAAGCAAGAUGGUACUGAGAAUUAAUAAUUUCAAUUAUAUAGUAAGAGAAGUUGGUUUACUAUGUCCUUUAUAUAUAUUUGACAUUCAAAAUUGUACAAAAUUAACACUUCAUAUUUUAAACAAAAUAUGUAAAGUUAUUAAAAAGUGUAUUAGUGGACCAACCAGAAAAGAACCUUUUUAACAAUACUUCAUAAUGGUGUAUCGCUUCAAAAUGCCAAGUUUUGCGAACUCAAUCUUCGCCCUCAUCCUUCAAACCAGUCACAUAAAUCGAAGCAUUUAUUGUCACCAACUGGGCCUAGAUGGGCUGAAUAAAGUGAAUGAGUGGGUGUGGCUGGUUGGGGCUGCACAUGAACCAUUCAUGAAACGAUUUGGCACAAAUGCAAAUUGGGCAAAUCCCUACAACAAACAAAAAUCCCUCCCGUUAAAAUACACACAGGCAUGGCACAAAAUGCGCCAACUAAACAAUGUAAAAUGUUAAAUAAUUAUUUAAAACAGUUGGAAAAACUCCUGUUCUGGGCUUGGCAACGGUGUGUCAGAUGACAAAAAAUGUUAACUGUUUACUUUUUGGCAAAUUUAUGGCCUAAUGCAGCUGGCACUGGCAAGAAAAAAAUUCCAUUCCUGCUCAACCCUCAACACGCUGUUAGGAAAUACGACAAGAAAAAAUGUGUUAACAGUAGUGGAAAAUAUUUGCUGGUUCGACAAAAAUAUAAUAUACAAAUAUACAUAUAUUGAUUAGUUAAUAUAAAGAGAGAGCUAAGAGAA
This is a long non-coding RNA of Drosophila willistoni, 1761 nucleotides long. RefSeq lists it as uncharacterized. The record is from RefSeq and is a predicted model, not a curated record. The transcript has 3 exons. NCBI's taxonomy places the organism in Eukaryota, Metazoa, Arthropoda, Insecta, Diptera, Drosophilidae.